RNAcentral lists this ribosomal RNA (441 nucleotides) under uncultured bacterium. Its description in RNAcentral is "partial 16S ribosomal RNA". It matches the Rfam family "Bacterial small subunit ribosomal RNA", at positions 338 to 795 of the family's 1533-position model. The record is from RNAcentral.
CCUACGGGUGGCAGCAGUGGGGGAUAUUGCACAAUGGGGGAAACCCUGAUGCAGCGACGCCGCGUGGGUGAAGAAGUAUUUCGGUAUGUAAAGCUCUAUCAGCAGGGAAGAAAGAAGACGGUACCUGACUAAGAAGCCCCGGCUAACUACGUGCCAGCAGCCGCGGUAAUACGGAGGGGUCGAGCGUUAUCCGGAUUCACUGGGUGUAAAGGGAGCGUAGACGGCCGUGCAAGCCAGGAGUGAAAGCCCGGGGCCCAACCCCGGGACCGCUGUUGGAACUGGGCGGCUGGAGUGCGGGAGGGGCAGGCGGAAUUCCUGGUGUAGCGGUGAAAUGCGUAGAUAUCAGGAGGAACACCGGCGGCGAAGGCGGCCUGCUGGACCGCGACUGACGUUGAGGCUCGAAAGCGUGGGGAGCGAACAGGAUUAGAUACCCCUGUAGUC